AAGAAAGUGGCAGAGUGGUUAUGCGGCCGGCUUGAAACCGGCAUAUGGGGGUUCAAUUCCUUCCUUUCUCG
RNAcentral lists this transfer RNA (71 nucleotides) under Citharinus congicus (Congo citharin). RNAcentral's name for it is "tRNA-Ser (UCN)". It matches the Rfam family "tRNA". From Rfam's summary of the family: Transfer RNA (tRNA) molecules are approximately 80 nucleotides in length. Their secondary structure includes four short double-helical elements and three loops (D, anti-codon, and T loops). Further hydrogen bonds mediate the characteristic L-shaped molecular structure. tRNAs have two regions of fundamental functional importance: the anti-codon, which is responsible for specific mRNA codon recognition, and the 3' end, to which the tRNAs corresponding amino acid is attached (by aminoacyl-tRNA synthetases). tRNAs cope with the degeneracy of the genetic code in two manners: having more than one tRNA (with a specific anti-codon) for a particular amino acid; and 'wobble' base-pairing, i.e. permitting non-standard base-pairing at the 3rd anti-codon position. The record is from RNAcentral. Lineage: Eukaryota; Metazoa; Chordata; Actinopteri; Characiformes; Citharinidae.